GUAUUUCUCUAGCUCAAACCUGGUCUGCCGAUGUGCCAUCGAGAAACAGGAGGAGCGUGCAGACUGUCUGCUCAUCUCAGAGCUCAACGACUGUAUCAAAGAGCCAUCAGCAUACAGCGAUCAAGGCUACAGUGCCAUUUUGUACCUCAAUGACAACUUUGAAGGGGGAGAUUUUAUCUUCACUGAGUCAGAUGCCAAAACUGUCUCUGU
Long non-coding RNA from Sinocyclocheilus anshuiensis, 210 nucleotides. RefSeq lists it as uncharacterized. Lineage: Eukaryota; Metazoa; Chordata; Actinopteri; Cypriniformes; Cyprinidae. The record is from RefSeq and is a predicted model, not a curated record. The transcript is spliced from 3 exons.